This 457-nucleotide ribosomal RNA is filed under the name uncultured bacterium. Its description in RNAcentral is "bacterial SSU rRNA". It matches the Rfam family "Bacterial small subunit ribosomal RNA", at positions 347 to 801 of the family's 1533-position model. The record is from RNAcentral.
GGCAGCAGUGAGGAAUAUUGGUCAAUGGGCGUAAGCCUGAACCAGCCAAGUCGCGUGAGGGAUGAAGGUUCUAUGGAUCGUAAACCUCUUUUAUAAGGGAAUAAAGUGUGGGACGUGUCCUGUUUUGUAUGUACCUUAUGAAUAAGGAUCGGCUAACUCCGUGCCAGCAGCCGCGGUAAUACGGAGGAUCCGAGCGUUAUCCGGAUUUAUUGGGUUUAAAGGGUGCGUAGGCGGCCUUUUAAGUCAGCGGUGAAAGUCUGUGGCUCAACCAUAGAAUUGCCGUUGAAACUGGGAGGCUUGAGUAUGUUUGAGGCAGGCGGAAUGCGUGGUGUAGCGGUGAAAUGCUUAGAUAUCACGCAGAACCCCGAUUGCGAAGGCAGCCUGCCAAGCCAUGACUGACGCUGAUGCACGAAAGCGUGGGGAUCAAACAGGAUUAGAUACCCUGGUAGUCCACGCA